Non-coding RNA from Podarcis lilfordi (Lilford's wall lizard), 77 nucleotides. The record is from the annotation of a GenBank genome assembly. Lineage: Eukaryota; Metazoa; Chordata; Lepidosauria; Squamata; Lacertidae.
GCAUCAUGGAUGGCUCAGUCGGUUAGAACGCUGUGCUGAUAACGCCAAGGUUGCAGGUUCGAUCCCCGGAUGGGACA